GGAAUCUUCAAUCUGAAACCCUCACUGGAAUGACUAAUCCUCAUAUGAACAGAAACAUCAUUUGUAUCUGUAACAACAGCUUUGAGGAUAGAAGACCAAAGGGCCAGGAGACCAAUCAACAUUAAAUGAAUUCUUCAGGUAAUUUGGAUGUGACUAGACUGUGUGCUUUAGUAAUAUCAUUUAACUAAUUUGGGGCUCAAGUUCCU
This 206-nucleotide long non-coding RNA is filed under the name Mustela putorius furo (domestic ferret). Its description in RNAcentral is "lncRNA (ENSMPUG00000027383.1)". Lineage: Eukaryota; Metazoa; Chordata; Mammalia; Carnivora; Mustelidae. The record is from RNAcentral.